ACGGGUGAGUAAUACAUCGGAACGUGCCUAGUAGUGGGGGAUAACUACUCGAAAGAGUAGCUAAUACCGCAUGAGAUCUACGGAUGAAAGCAGGGGACCUUCGGGCCUUGUGCUACUAGAGCGGCUGAUGGCAGAUUAGGUAGUUGGUGGGGUAAAGGCUUACCAAGCCUGCGAUCUGUAGCUGGUCUGAGAGGACGACCAGCCACACUGGGACUGAGACACGGCCCAGACUCCUACGGGAGGCAGCAGUGGGGAAUUUUGGACAAUGGGCGAAAGCCUGAUCCAGCAAUGCCGCGUGCAGGAUGAAGGCCCUCGGGUUGUAAACUGCUUUUGUACGGAACGAAAAGCCUGGGGCUAAUAUCCCCGGGUCAUGACGGUACCGUAAGAAUAAGCACCGGCUAACUACGUGCCAGCAGCCGCGGUAAUACGUAGGGUGCAAGCGUUAAUCGGAAUUACUGGGCGUAAAGCGUGCGCAGGCGGUUUUGUAAGACAGUGGGGAAAUCCCCGGGCUCAACCUGGGAACUGCCAUUGUGACUGCAAGGCUAGAGUGCGGCAGAGGGGGAUGGAAUUCCGCGUGUAGCAGUGA
This 586-nucleotide ribosomal RNA is filed under the name uncultured bacterium. RNAcentral's name for it is "bacterial SSU rRNA". It matches the Rfam family "Bacterial small subunit ribosomal RNA", at positions 102 to 684 of the family's 1533-position model. The record is from RNAcentral.